Molecule: long non-coding RNA, 561 nt
Organism: Xiphophorus maculatus (southern platyfish)
Lineage: Eukaryota; Metazoa; Chordata; Actinopteri; Cyprinodontiformes; Poeciliidae
Exons: 7
Source: RefSeq, a predicted model, not a curated record
GGUUUGUCAGAAUCACCGUCGACAAAGGCGCUUUUCACUUUAGACGUGAAAGUUCUCAUCGGAAAUAGAGAACGCAAAAAUUACACUCACGUAGGAAGAGGGAGAGUGAAAGGGUCACAGAGGGGCUGGUGUUUGUCUCCAGCAGUCAUUGGAAGAAAGCCAUGUGUUUUUACUCAGUCCUACAUACCACUGGUCUGCCUUCCUCACAUUUCAGAAACAGACGGUUCUUCACAGCUCAGGGCGAACCUGAGAGCCCAUCUUAUCACUUCAGUCUCAGACUCUACUGUGUGCCAUUGUGUCGACUUAAUAAUCACUGAAUCUCACACAGCGAUGUGGGUUUUUGGUGCUAAUGGCCAGAACCUGGUACUUGAAGUAGCAGAGCUCGCAGCUCCAGGAGCCUCUCUCACUGAUCCAGCGGAUGAGGCAGGACUGCAACUAUUCAAAAUGGGAAAAAGAGAAGAAACCCUGUUAUAAAGGAGGAGGUGAGCAGCUUGUGGGAAUCCUUUGUUUCUCCGCGGUGGCAUCCAUGAACUCCCCUGCUGUUUCUGCGGACUUUGUCCC